UGUCGGAUGUUCAUAGGGCUGACUGGUGUGGGCGGUAAGCGCGCCGUGAGUCUUGUGUCGGUAAUCGGUAACGGUACGGCUGGUACGGCAGGGGCCGCAACCGGGAGCACGAGGAGGAUAAGCGCCGUUCGUAUCGUCGAAGGGUCCGCCUCUGAUUCACGGAUCUGAGGCGACAAAGAGGAAGGCGUCGUGGUCGUGGUGGCUGUUGCUGUUGUCGCGCAAGGAGCGGUUGCAUGAGUGCGAGGACCUCCGGGAGGGCGUCCGGCGUCGCGGGUGCCCGAAGCGGAGGGAGAGGAACCCGCGGCCGGUGCUGGCGCGGAAGCAGGCACCGGACACGGCGCCACUAAGGUGUGGCAGGCUCACGGAGCACUUGGACGCUCGUCCGCAGGAGCUGAUGCCGUGCACGUGCAGGUCGGCCUCGCACCAUAAGACCAUGCUGUUCACGAAGUAGUGGAUGCGGCUGUGGUUGCGGUGGUUGUUGAUGUUGAUGCUCAACGCGAGCGAACUAUACGCGCAGUGGGAGCCUUCGAGGCGGGCCUCAUCGGUACUCGGCCUCAAGAAGAGCGACUUUUUAGCGAACCACCGUUCCCGCCGGUCGCGGCCUCCGUGACCCGUCCGGUUCAAGCGGUGGCCCCUCCGGCUCAUGCGUGGGUUACCCUGCUACAUGCCAGAGCGCCUCACGUACUCCCUGGAAUCGCCGCUCCUCACGUUAGCCACAGACGUUAAUAACAGCUGUCUAAACGGCAGCACGACGUUGGCUAUAGUCCCUCCCUGCCGCGUUUUGAAGUUGACGGCGGAAGCCCAAGUUCGUAUACGGAUGAUACUGGACCGCGGGCUGCGAGGCGGAGGCCGACGACGUGGCGGCCGCGGCUAGAGGAGCCAGCCUUUCCCCUCUAAUGUUGUACGGUAGGACAAACAGCGGUAAAGACAACCCUGUGAUAAGCAGGAUCAGCGGCACGAACGAACGCAAGCAGCUGUCUCCUCUUCCUUGUUCCGCUUCUUCCUUGUUGUUCUAUUACGUUCCCUCCCGUACUUUAUAUAAUCAGACGUUCACAAUUCUCGACGUUGUAGGUUAAAAAGAUAUCUGUUAUUUGACCCUCUCCCUCCUAAGCCUCUUCAAAAAUUCAACGUACAUGUAUCCCGCUUAACGUCUUACCUUACUUUUAUCGGCACUUUUCCGACAGUUUCUUGAGUCGAGUUCCCAAACUACUCGACUUUUUACUCGAUCACAAUCGAUUGUCUGAACUCGUGUUCUUAAACCACGGGGAAGAGCCACAAACGAACGUUCUCUUUGACCACCACAUGCUUAUAUACGGAUUACCUUCGGAUGUGUGCUCGGAAAAGUCAUUAAGAGGGCUGAGGUGAACAAUUUUAAAUGAUGUGAAAAUGUGGUGAUCAGACGUAUAAGACAACAAAAAUCAAGGUCACCACGUACACACAUGACACAUCGUCUAAGACUCUUCCGUGUGGUUGACCUGACCUGCUUUUCUUUGUGCUAGUAGAGACCCUAACGAGCUCCAGAUAACAUAGAGGUGCUCCUCAGAGCAGAUUUUCAGUAUGUGGCACUGGACUUCGGUUCGUUGCAGAAUAAUCUGGACCUAUACUUGGGGUUCUAGAGUCUGAAACCAGACAGAUCCCGAAAGCCACUUCUAGUCAGCUACCUAUAUUGUUUUGCGGGACAGCCAUGUGAACCUAUGUACAGAGGGCUCAUGCGCAUGACACCGGUUCAGAGAUGGUUCAGUCUGUACAUGUCGAAGCCCCAGUAUCAAUAGCUCUAACACUGACCAGCUUCCUUGUUAUCCAGUGACCUUCUAAUACUAUGGCGGAGGUCUAUAGAAGAGUCGAUACAUUCCAUACCCUUUUCACCUUACGUCCUAGCUACCUUCUCCACCACCUAAGGACGGACCCGCCAGCAAUGGGGCUCUCGCUCCGCGAUUUGACACACGUGUAGCCUGACGAUACGCAGGUCCUCCUAGGGUCGCGGUCCGGUCUACGCAGGCUCCAUCACGAGUACGAGCUGUCGGUGAGGUGCAGGUACUUAUACGCGUGAGGGAGGUCCGGACGCAAGACGAAGUGUGUUGGACCGCAGCAGUCCGUACGAUGCCGGUUGCCGGUUGACAGAUGGGGGCAAAGUCUGUUACUUCACUGCUAAAGCCUAGAGGUCGGAUCCAUCCUGCUAAAGUCUGUUCAAACAUAAUCAUUACGUUUAUGGAUGGUUCCAAAACUUAAAAAGCCUACGUUUUGUUUAGAGCACCCCGUGGCCUAAGGGCCAAUGGCGCCAUUGACUUUUUAUGGCCCACCAAUGAACUGCUAAAAGAAAGGUAAACUUGUUCUGAGUAAGUGUUAAUUCAGUUUCGAGUAAGUUUAAUAUUUUAAGUCCUACAAAACGUGCCAUCCCACUAAAGAGUACUCUAUAGUUCUAAGUGUCAAUAGCCCGCGAUUGGCUUAAAUGG
This 2453-nucleotide ribosomal RNA is filed under the name Triticum aestivum (bread wheat). Its description in RNAcentral is "partial small subunit ribosomal RNA". Lineage: Eukaryota; Viridiplantae; Streptophyta; Magnoliopsida; Poales; Poaceae. The record is from RNAcentral.